Molecule: long non-coding RNA, 5634 nt
Organism: Myotis myotis
Lineage: Eukaryota; Metazoa; Chordata; Mammalia; Chiroptera; Vespertilionidae
Exons: 2
Source: RefSeq, a predicted model, not a curated record
CUUCCCUCUGUGGUUUGAUAGUCUGUUCGAUGCUUCUAUGUCUCUUGCUUUCUCACGUUUGCUCUGACUUAAGGCCUCUUGCUCUGCUCUUUUCCUUUGUCUUCUCCUGAUGCAGCUCAAACCCCAGUCACCCAGUUCCCCAGAUUUGCUCUCUAUGCCAAUCCUUCUCCCACCCUUUGGUUCCUGCGCCAGGAGAAGAUGCAGCAUAAUUAUCUGGCAAUUGGAGGACAAACAACAAAUAGUCCAGCCCAUGCAGCUCCACAGACGUCCUCUCAAUGGGCUCUCCUUUGAUCAGCGUGGGCAGAUGAAAACACAUUUGCCAAGGAGACGAAGAACAGAGUUGGGCAGUUAUCUGAUGGCUUUUCUAGUUCAGGAAGGAACAGCUGUCCUUUGUUGAGAAUUCUACUGCUUCUUUGUUUUCUGUUCAUGGAUUUCUGCUCUUUUAUUUCCUCCUUCCUUUUCUUUCCUUUGGAUUGAUUCUGUGUGUGUGUGUGUGUGUGUGUGUGUGUGUGUGUGUGUGUGUGUAUUUAGACUUAUACUAGGCUCAUGCUGUAACAACCCCCAUAGCUCAGUGAUAUAACACAGUAAGAGUUACAUUUUCUUUAUGCAGCAAAGUCCCGUGUGUAUGUUCCUGACUGGGCAACGCACUGUGACAGCCGUCCUCCAGCUAGUGACCCAGGGACUCAGGACACUCCUUCCUUAUGGUUUCUCCAACUUGAGGCGGCAGGCUUACCCUGGCAUUAUCCAUCUGGCCGAAUGGAGUGUAGGACAUGGGAAAGUGAGACGGUAGAACAGAGUGGGCCUAGAAAGGACCGUCAUGGCACCUUAAUUGCAAGCGAGGUUGGGAAAGGGGUAUGGAUGGGACUGAUGGUCUCUGCUAUGUGCCUUUAUUUUUUAAAUGAAAAUGCUUAUUGUUUUCUUUUAAAAAAUUUCAAAUGCAGUUAACAUUCAAUAUUAUUUUAUCUUAGUGUCUGGUGUACAGCAUAAUGGUUAGACAUUUGUAUAGUUUACGAAGUGAUCCCCCAGUAAUUCUGGUACUGACCUGGCACCACACGUAGUUAUCACAAUAUUUUUGAUUAUAUCUACCAUAUUUUUAAGUGGAUACUUAGCUUAUUAACAUACUUUUCUUUUUUAACAUUAACACAUAGACUACAAAUUUCCCUUAAAACAUUACUUUUGCUGUAUUUCACAAGGCUUGAUAUACAGUGUUUUCAUUAUCCUUCAAUUCCAACUAAUUUUUAAAUUCCAUUAUGAUGUAUUCUUUGGUCCAUGCCUCAUUUCAAAGUUUAUUUGUUUUUAUGACUUCGGGGUAGGGGAGGAUUUCUCACACAAGACAAUAAGAGGGCCCACUGUAAAAGAAAAGGCUGACAAAUUCAACUACAUUAAAGUUAAGAACUGUUCGUCAAAAGACACUGUAAAGAUAAUUUUAAAAAGGCUACAGAUUGAGAAUAGAGGACAAAUCAGUACUAAAAUGAGCCAAAAGCAUUUCACCAAAGGGAAAGAAAUGGCCCAUAUGCCCGUGGAAAGAUACUCGUUAGUCACCAUGGGAAUCUAAAUCAAAAUCACAGGGAGACAUGCUCCUAUACUUAGUGGACUGGCAAAAAUGCAGUAACUGAAGAAUACUAGGAGGAAGUGCUAGGAGGGCCAAUGGGAUGUCAUAUGCAUUGCUCAUAUGAAAUAACAUUGAAUAUUCAUAUAUCAUAGGACGCAGCAGUUUCGCUCCUGGGUAUGUAUUCUGGAGGAUAAAACGACUUGAGAGGUAAAUGCUCAAUUGUAGGAAACUGAUCCCUUAUAGGAUGGUCUCCCAGAAAAGGAGUUGGGCUCCCGCAGAGCUCCAUGGAAAUUGCCUAUGACCCCUUAUUAGGGUAAUAAAUUCUGAUUGAAUGCGAGGCUUAGAUCUUAUUUUUCCAGGGCUACCUGUGGGAGGGGAGAGCUGGUUGUUCCCUCACUGUGGAUGCUAAUGAAGCGAAUCGUGCUGCUCUUGGCAGUGUCACUCAGCUGCAAACUGGUCAUCUGCUGGUCACGCGAGGGGAGGGCCUGGGUCUUCCUUAAUCUUGCAGCGUGAAGGCCCCACAAGGCGUAAGGACUCUCUCCUGGAUUCUGACUUUGGGCUCUGGUAGACCUUUGUCUACUGCUGAGAUGAGAUGACCGGGACCUCCGUUUCCUCUGCUGCCUUUUUUCCUGGGUGUCCCCAACAAAUGGUCUCUAGGUGGCCUAUUUGUGCAGCCUGCCCAUCCGCCUUUGUUUGCACACCACAGCCUCAUGUCCAUCAACAAAAUACCGUAUCCAUUGUGGUUUAUUCUUACAGUGGAAUAAUCUGCAGCAAGUGCAAAGGGAUGAAUUAUGGUUGUUCACAGCAAAGAGCUGAAUUUCAUUAACAUAGUGUUGUGUGACAAAAGUACCAGAAUUCAACUUACAGUAUAACGCUCUUCAUAACUUUCUAAAACAGGAAACAUUGAAGAAAAUAUUAGUGCCACACCCUGUAAGUAACAAAUGGAGAAAAAGGGAAUGAUAAUGACCAAGUUCAGGAUCUUGGUUCCAUUGGGUGGGAUGGCAAGAGGCCGGGAAAGGAAGGGACCUACAGGUGGAUGAAUGGAUGUAACAAACUGUCAUAUUAGCUAGAUCUUGCUGGAGUCAAGGAUAAAAGUAUUGGUGCUUUACUUGGGAGAUAAACACCCAGGGCGACUGAAGAGAGAAAAAAGAUGUGAAGCAAUACAAAGUGUGAUGGGAUGAACUGUGUCCCGCCUACCCUCACUCCUCUCGAAUUGACAUGGUGAAGUCCUAACCUGUUACCUGGGAAUGCGGUCAUAUUUGGAGGUGAGGCCUUUAAAGAAGAAAUGAGGUCUUCGGGAUGGGCCUAGUUCAUAUGACUGGCGUCCUUACAAGCGGACACUUGGACACAGGCAUGUGUGUGGACACGUGAAGGUCCAGGGAGAAGACAGCCCUCUGCAAGCCAAGGAGAGAAGCCUCAGAAAAAACUAACCCUGCCGACGCCUUGACCUGACUUCUCGUCUCCGGAGCUGUGAGGAUGUUCAUUCCUGCUGUUUGAGCCCCCGCGCGUGGUCCUUUGUUGGGGCAGCCUGAGCAGAUCAGGCACAAAGUGACGCACAGCCUUAUUGGCCUCCACUUCCACGAGCCACAAGGAGACACAGUGGACGGUUAUGUCCUGCUCAGUGGGGCUUCUCUGGAAAGCUGUACAGAGGGAGGAUGAAGAGGGAAUUUAUCCCCUGGGGCUGCCCAUCUCCGCUGUGCCCAUGGGAAGUUAAAGUCCUCGUGCUUUCAUGGGGUGUCACUUCCCCUCUUUGGUGGCUGCUCAAGUUGUUAGAGCCCAUGCCAUAUAGUGUGACCUUUCACCUGAGUCCAUGAAGGGCAGGGGGAGCGAGAACCUGGGUGCAUAGGGGGUUGGCCUGGCUGCAGGAUGGUCCAUCGAGGGGAACCCUGACCCUGAUCAGCCCUGACUGGGGAACCAGUAGCCCAGGUGACUUGGUCAGUUGUGGGGCGAGGCUGAGGCAGAGCAAGUGGUGAGGGUGAAAAACCUGGGGGAUGCUGAGCAGAUGGGAGGAGGUGCAUGAGAUUCAUGAUGGGCCAGUUACUAAUAUUCUAGCUCUUGGUUAGGAUACCGGGUUUAUAGGUAUUUGUUUUAUUAUGUUUAAAACAAACAAACAAACAAACAAACAAACAAACAUAAAAGAAGGACAAGCAUGACCUGGUGGUGAUGAUGAUGGUGAUGAUGAUGCUUAAAGAAUCAAAAAUUCAAUUGUGAUUCAUUCAAUUCUGGGUUCCUGAGUUUGUUUGUUUUUCUACCAAAGAGAAUAGCAGCUGCUUUUCAAUUCUGAGAACCCCUUACUCUUCCUUACCUCCAGGGCAUCAAUUGGUUAUUUUGAAAAGCUCAUUUAAACACGUUUGGGGAGAGAAUCAAAUAUCCUGUAAAAAUUCAACAAUUACUACUCAAACCAGCUUUAUUCAUAAGCUAUUAUUUCAGAGAUUAACAAAAUAAUGUACAAUACAUUUGACUAUAGAAAACUUUCUUUUCAAAUCAGGCCUAAUAAAAUAAUUGCAAACGUGUGUUUUUAAUUUCCAAGGCCUGCCAGUUUUUUGUGUUUUGUUAAGAGCAGAAUCAUUGCAUAUGCAUGUUUAUAUCCACUGUGUCUUACUCACAUGGCUACAACAUACAUCAGUCUGUGUUUAUCAUGGACCCUGAACUUGACAAGCAUUCUUGCUUUUCUAACAUUCCUUUCCUAUUGCCUCAGUAAAUAAUGUUCCCAGUAAAGCACCUUUCUUUCAUUUUCUUUGCAGCAGAGCCUAUGUUAUUUUCUUAGUUAUGGAACGUUGUGCACCCAGUGGUUGGCCUUCCUUUUCUCGUGUGGUUUACUUUUCAGUUGGAAAAGUGUGAAUGAAAUGCGUGAUGCAUUGAUAUGGUGGCUGACAAUGUCAGUCACGCACAGCGCUGCAGGAAGCAGAUGGCAUCCUCCAAAGGGAUCACGGAUGAGAGUCUCAUGAACGGGUAAUUUACAAAAGUGCCGGCAGAUGCAGAGAAUCCACAAGGGAUGGAGAAGCAUCACAGGAUGAGCAAGAAGGACUGAAGAUUCGUGGAGGGAGAAGUUCCUGUAGCCCAGUGAGGAUGUGGUAGUGGGAGAGGGGUGGGGACACCCAUUAAGAGCCAUGAUCUUUGGUAGAAGAUCACACCAAUGGCCCGAGGAGGAAGGGAGGGAGGACGAGAGAGAGAGGACAAUGCGUGCCUGACCCUUCUCUCUUUCUGCCGCUACCCCCUCAAUUGGCAGGACCCAGCCAGAAACAAGAGAGCAGGAAAGUGUCCAUGGAGAGCACUUCCCAAAGCAGGGGUUGUGGUGGUGGAGGAGUGACAAGCACAUCUGAAGAGACAAACAGAAAACAUCUGGCACAGUGACAGAACAAUUGCUACAAUGGUUUUGAUGACUUAGUCCCAUUGGAAAAGUGAAGAGCUGCCCAGGCAAAGUUGCCUUUGCCCCUCAGGGGACAACUGUCAUCAUUUUUUAUUCUAGGGACUGACAGGCGGAAGGGUGCUGUAGGAACGUGAGCCCCUUGUUAAGAAACAGGGGUGAGGGCUAAUACUUUUGUAUGAACCUUUACAUUUAUGCAAUCCAGGCAUGAUUUAAAAUCGCUUUUAGCUGUAAGGUUUUAAGGUUGUUAAUCCAUAAUGUAGGAAGAUGUCUUUAGCAAAUACUGUCUGAUCUCACUUAGAUAUGGAAUCUUAAAAAACAAACACCACAAAACUGCUCAUAGAUACAAAGACCAGAUUGGUGGUUUCCAGAGGUGGGAGUGGGGGUGGGUGAAGUGGGUGAAGGGAGUCAAAAGGUGCAAACUUCCAGUUAUAAAUAAUAAUUAUAAUACUGUAGUGUGUAUUUGAUAGUUGCUAGGACAGGAGAUCUUAAAAGUUUUCAUCACAAGAAAAUAAUGUAUCUAUCUAUGUAUGGUGAUGGGUAUUAACUAGACUUAUUGUGGUAAUGACUUCCCAAUUCAUACAAAUGUGGAACCAUAAUGUCGUAUGCCUGAAACUAAUGUAGUGUUUUAUGUCAAUUAAAAGAAGAAAGAUGUCUUUAGGAAAUUUAACUAUUUCAAAAUGGAAUAAACUAAGUGCUCUACUUUAUAAAAUGA